GAUGAAGAACGUAGCGAAAUGCGAUACUUGGUGUGAAUUGCAGAAUCCCGUGAACCACCGAGUCUUUGAACGCAAGUUGCGCCCGAAGCCAUUAGGCCGAGGGCACGCCUGCCUGGGCGUCACACGUCGUUGCCCCCCCAUCUACUCCUUCGGGAUUGCGGGGGGCGGAUGAUGGCCUCCCGUGCGCCUCGUCGCGCGGUUGGCAUAAAUGCCAAGUCCUCGGCGACGCACGCCACGACAAUCGGUGGUUGCGAAACCUCGGUUGCCCGUCGUGUGCGGUCGUCGCGCAUCGAGGGCUCGAAAAAAUUGCCGGGCUCCGGCUCGGCUUUCAACGCGACCCCAGGUCAGGCGGGGUUACCCGCUGAAUUUAAGCAUAUCAAUAAGCGGAGGA
RNAcentral lists this unclassified non-coding RNA (391 nucleotides) under soil metagenome. RNAcentral's name for it is "partial contains 5.8S ribosomal RNA, internal transcribed spacer 2, and large subunit ribosomal RNA". The stretch from base 1 to 122 matches the Rfam family "5.8S ribosomal RNA", at positions 35 to 154 of the family's 154-position model. The record is from RNAcentral.